AACACUCUACCUUUGUACUUCACCCACUCUCUUUUGGAUAAGGUUUUAUCCUUAAAAAUGUGAUUAAUUAAUAGUUAAGGGUCCUUAUAUGUUAAAAUAAAGUUUUGGGUGAAAAUCUCAUGUUAAAACAAUUAAAAACGGGCCUAAAAUGCGAAUUUAGUCGAAAACCGGGAGAAAAAGCGUUCCCAGCGAGACCUCUCGGUCCUAGGCCGAGGUUCGGUCCCUAGGCCGAGGUUCGGUCCUUGCUGGUGCUGAGCCGGAAGCGAAGUGCGAACCAGAAGAAGAAGGCGAAGGCGAGGGGCUCAGUCCGAAGGCUCGGUCCGAAGGGUCAGAAGCGAAGGUUCGGUUCGGUUCUUUGAGUGAGGUUCGGUUCGGUUCUUUGAGUGAGGUUCGGUUCGGUUCUUUGAGUGAGGUUCGGUUCGGUUCAACAGCCUUCUUCAUCAGGAGGGUUCGGUUCCUAAGGGGACUUUCGGUUCCUAAGAGGGGUUUCGGUUCCUAAAAGGGCUUUCGGGUCCUAAGAGGGGUUUCGGUUCCUCAAGCCCGUUUUUCGCGUAGACUUCCGCUUUUGGGCUGUUUUCGCCAAAUUCGAGGGUCGGAAUGCCCCGAGUGAUUAUAGAAAGUUGGGAGAGAUUUGAGAGAGAUUCCACAUACUCAGAGAGAUUUGGGAGAGAUUUGACAUUCUUGGAGAGAUUUCACAUACAAAGAGAUAUUUGGGAGAGAUUUCACAUACUUAGAGAGAUUUGGGAGAGAUUCUCGAUAAGAAGAGAUAGAGUGAAAACGAUUGAGAGCGGUUUCGUGUGUGACGAAUGUGAGUGUCCGGCUUCGCAAUGCAAGGUCCGUAAACCCCGUUAUGCCAUGUUUUAGGAUCAUACACACUCCCUAUGAGUAUGCAACAUUGUUUUAUUGUUCUUGUUCAUUGUUUAGCACUAAGGUUAAAGAAAUUUAAACACACAAACUUUCCAAGUGAUGUUUUCUCAUUAAGAUAGUGAGUUAUACAGAAAUUACAUAAUACAAACCCUAUUAUACAAGGUUUAAUUGAGUUGACCGGUUUGACUCGUUGACCUUGUCCGGCUUAGACUUGACCCGAAUUUGACUAUUGUCACAGUAUGAGUGUUCUCAUGUAAAAAUGAAAUGUUUGUAUAUGUACUAUAGAA
Molecule: long non-coding RNA, 1154 nt
Filed under: Lactuca sativa (garden lettuce)
Lineage: Eukaryota; Viridiplantae; Streptophyta; Magnoliopsida; Asterales; Asteraceae
Description: long non-coding RNA (LSAT_LNC004263)
Source: RNAcentral